Molecule: long non-coding RNA, 304 nt
Organism: Cydia fagiglandana
Lineage: Eukaryota; Metazoa; Arthropoda; Insecta; Lepidoptera; Tortricidae
Exons: 2
Source: RefSeq, a predicted model, not a curated record
ACCAGUAGCUUUUCGGAGAAGGAAAACAUCGUGAGGAAACCGGACUAAUCCUAAUAAGGCCUAGUUUACCCUCUGGGUUGGAAGGUCAGAUGGCAGUCGCUUUCUUAAAAACUAGUGCCUAUGCCUAUUAUAUGAGAUUAUCCGGUUUCCUCACGAUGUUUUCCUUCACCGAAAAGAGACUGGUAAAUAUCAAAUGAUAUUUCGUACAUAAGUUCCGAAAAACUCAUUGGUACGAGCCGGGGUUUGAACCCGCGACCUCCAGAUUGCAAGUCGCACGCUCUCACCGCUAGGCCACCAGCGCUUC